RNAcentral lists this ribosomal RNA (550 nucleotides) under Funneliformis mosseae. RNAcentral describes it as "SSU rRNA". It matches the Rfam family "Eukaryotic small subunit ribosomal RNA", at positions 548 to 1098 of the family's 1831-position model. The record is from RNAcentral. Lineage: Eukaryota; Fungi; Glomeromycota; Glomeromycetes; Glomerales; Glomeraceae.
UUGGAGGGCAAGUCUGGUGCCAGCAGCCGCGGUAAUUCCAGCUCCAAUAGCGUAUAUUAAAGUUGUUGCAGUUAAAAAGCUCGUAGUUGAGUUUCGGGAUCAAUAUUUCGGUCAUGCCGUUGGCAUGCACUGUUAUCAUUGAUUUCUCACCUUCUAAAGAACCGUAAUGCCAUUAAUUUGGUGUUACGGGGAAUUAGGACUGUUACCUUGAAAAAAUUAGAGUGUUUAAAGCAGGCUCACGCUUGAAUACAUUAGCAUGGAAUAAUGAAAUAGGACAUCCGAUUCUAUUUUGUUGGUUUCUAGGAUCGAUGUAAUGAUUAAUAGGGAUAGUUGGGGGCAUUAGUAUUCAAUUGUCAGAGGUGAAAUUCUUGGAUUUAUUGAAGACUAACUACUGCGAAAGCAUUUGCCAAGGAUGUUUUCAUUAAUCAAGAACGAAAGUUAGGGGAUCGAAGACGAUCAGAUACCGUCGUAGUCUUAACCAUAAACUAUGCCGACUAGGGAUCGGAUGAUGUUAAUUUUUUAAUGACUCAUUCGGCGCCUUACGGGAAAC